RNAcentral lists this non-coding RNA (28 nucleotides) under Mus musculus (house mouse). The record is from RNAcentral. Lineage: Eukaryota; Metazoa; Chordata; Mammalia; Rodentia; Muridae.
UAGUAGUCUCCCAAGACCUCGGUCCUGA